AGCAUAUCAAUAAGCGGAGGAAAAGAAACCAACAGGGAUUGCCCUAGUAACGGCGAGUGAAGCGGCAACAGCUCAAAUUUGAAAUCUGGCUCUUUCAGAGUCCGAGUUGUAAUUUGCAGAGGGCGCUUUGGCUUUGGCAGCGGUCCAAGUUCCUUGGAACAGGACGUCACAGAGGGUGAGAAUCCCGUACGUGGUCGCUAGCUAUUGCCGUGUAAAGCCCCUUCGACGAGUCGAGUUGUUUGGGAAUGCAGCUCUAAAUGGGAGGUAAAUUUCUUCUAAAGCUAAAUAUUGGCCAGAGACCGAUAGCGCACAAGUAGAGUGAUCGAAAGAUGAAAAGCACUUUGGAAAGAGAGUCAAACAGCACGUGAAAUUGUUGAAAGGGAAGCGCUUGCAGCCAGACUUGCUUGCAGUUGCUCAUCCGGGCUUUUGCCCGGUGCACUCUUCUGCAGGCAGGCCAGCAUCAGUUUGGGCGGUGGGAUAAAGGUCUCUGUCAUGUACCUCUCUUCGGGGAGGCCUUAUAGGGGAGGCGACAUACCACCAGCCUAGACUGAGGUCCGCGCAUCUGCUAGGAUGCUGGCGUAAUGGCUGUAAGCGGCCCGUCUUGAAACACGGACCAAGGAGUCUAACAUCUAUGCGAGUGUUUGGGUGUCAAGCCCGAGCGCGUAAUGAAAGUGAACGGAGGUGGGAACCCGCAAGGGUGCACCAUCGACCGAUCCUGAAGUUUACGGAAGGAUUUGAGUAAGAGCAUGGCUGUUGGGACCCGAAAGAUGGUGAACUAUGCUUGAAUAGGGUGAAGCCAGAGGAAACUCUGGUGGAGGCUCGCAGCGGUUCUGACGUGCAAAUCGAUCGUCAAAUUUGGGCAUAGGGGCGAAAGACUAAUCGAACUAUCUUGUAGCUGGGUCCUGCCCA
RNAcentral lists this ribosomal RNA (909 nucleotides) under Bipolaris bicolor. RNAcentral's name for it is "LSU rRNA". It matches the Rfam family "Eukaryotic large subunit ribosomal RNA", at positions 37 to 964 of the family's 3401-position model. Lineage: Eukaryota; Fungi; Ascomycota; Dothideomycetes; Pleosporales; Pleosporaceae. The record is from RNAcentral.